This 904-nucleotide ribosomal RNA is filed under the name uncultured archaeon. Its description in RNAcentral is "bacterial SSU rRNA". It matches the Rfam family "Archaeal small subunit ribosomal RNA", at positions 21 to 903 of the family's 1478-position model. The record is from RNAcentral.
CCCUACUGCUAUCGGGGUGGGACUAAGACAUGCUAGUCGAGCGCCUUGAGCUAUGGCGAGGCGCGGCGUACAGCUCAGUAACACGUGGCUAACCUACCCUUAGGACGGAGACAACCCCGGGAAACUGGGGCUAAUAUCUGAUAGGUGAGGAGGCCUGGAAUGGUUCUUCGCUGAAAAGGCGUUGAAACCAUGCUUUUCAGCGUCGCCUAAGGAUGGGGCCGCGUCCGAUCAGGUUGUUGGUGGGGUGACGGCUCACCAAGCCUAUAACCGGUACGGGCCGUGAGAGCGGGAGCCCGGAGAUGGGCACUGAGACAAGGGCCCAGGCCCUACGGGGCGCAGCAGUCGCGAAAACUCCGCAAUGCGCGAAAGCGUGACGGGGCUACCCCGAGUGCCGUCCGCUGAGGAUGGCUUUUCCCCGGUGUAAUGAGCCGGGGGAAUAAGGAGGGGGCAAGUCUGGUGUCAGCCGCCGCGGUAAUACCAGCUCUCCGAGUGGUAGGGACGAUUAUUGGGCUUAAAGCGUCCGUAGCCGGCUUAGCAAGUCUUCUGUUAAAUUCAGCGACCUAAUCGUUGAGCCGCGGGAGAUACUACUAGGCUAGGAGGCGGGAGAGGCCGACGGUAUUCUCGGGGUAGGGGUGAAAUCCUAUAAUCCCGGGAGGACCACCAGUGGCGAAGGCUGUCGGCUAGAACGCGCUCGACGGUGAGGGACGAAAGCUGGGGGAGCGAACCGGAUUAGAUACCCGGGUAGUCCCAGCUGUAAACGAUGCGGGCUAGGUGUUGGGGUGGCUACGAGCCACUUCAGUGCCGCAGGGAAGCCAUUAAGCCCGCCGCCUGGGGAGUACGGCCGCAAGGCUGAAACUUAAAGGAAUUGGCGGGGGAGCACCACAAGGCGUGAAGCUUGCGGUUC